Non-coding RNA from Podarcis lilfordi (Lilford's wall lizard), 6731 nucleotides. The record is from the annotation of a GenBank genome assembly. Lineage: Eukaryota; Metazoa; Chordata; Lepidosauria; Squamata; Lacertidae.
UAGAGGUGGCAUGAAUAAAGCAAAGGUGGCAUUAGAACGUCAACAAGGAGACGCUAAGGGGAAGUGAAAGAAAAUAAUAGAUCAACAGACAUAAAGAACUUUUAUUGAGCACUAGAGGGAAAAAAUUGAAACGGUAAAAAAAAAAAUUGCCAUUCAAUGCAUCAGUUCCUUAAAAAAAAAUCUGAAUCUCUCUCUCUCUCUCUCUCGCUUUUCAUGACAAGACGUGGAUGGCUGAGGAAACAUGCAAUGCUUUUAUCGGGAGGGGUGGAAAGAAGAUAAAAAGAGAAAAGUGUUAGCUUCUUUUGUAGAAAAAGAAACACACAUUUUUGACAGCGGAUGUCUUAGCACAAGCAAGGAAAACAUUGUUUUUGGCUGCUGGAUAUAAAUCUGUAGAGGUAAAAGCCCAUUGCAUUGUGAGUAGAGUUGCAGCCUAUCUCUUCUUCUGCUCAUUGAACAAAGAUAAUUGGCAUGGUAAUUAAUUGGUUGGGCAAUGUGUAUCUCUGGAGUGUGUGCAUUUGUAUACCGUGUCUGGGUGUGUGUGUGUGUGUGUGUGUGUGUGUGUGUGUGUGCAAACACAUUCUAUUUGCCUUAAAAUUAGGGGUGCCGCCUUUUCUCCUGGCAGCCCCUCCCCCCAGUUAAUUGAUGUAGCAUUUUCUUGCAUAGACAUGCACUGAUAGGAGAGGGGGACUCCACCUGUUGAAUUUCCCCAGGUUAUUGCAUAAUAAUGCAGCUACUGCAUGCAAAUGUCAAUGACACAAGAGCUCUGCUAGUUAAAUAAAGCUCUUGAAAUAGGAGCAGUGCCCGUUGCCAGAACAAGAGAGAAACUGCAGGAUUUAGAGUCCAGUCCUAACACAUGAAGUCAAUGGGGGGAUUAGGAGCUGGCACACAGCCCGUUUUGUUGGCCUCUGUUGUUGGAGAGGACUGCAGCUGUGUCAUGGCGGAGGCCCCAGCAUUGCCCAGGCAGGUGGUAAGCUCCUCCUGAUGGUUCUCCCACUGGUGGUAGGCAGCAGUAGCAAACUCUGAAAUGGGACAUGGGGUGGAGGCUUAGUAUCUGCUGGAUUCCACUUCAGUCCUGCAAAUCGGGCCUUGCACCCCAAAUCUGAAACAAUAUUUGAAAAACCGAAGCAUUUGUUUCCCCAUCACUUUCCCUACUGCAUAUAGCACAGAUAUUGAUUUCGGAAGUCCGUUUGUCAGGGCAAAGCACCAAACCCAUUUUAACGGCAUAACCUGAAUGUGCUGGUACACGACUGAAUCCCACCACAGACAGCCUGGCAGCGUCCAAGGUAAUAAAAAAUAAUAGAUUCUAAAUAUGCAAACGGCACUACAUUAAUGUUUAAUAGCAUUCCCAUUUGUACAAACUUAUUCUCUCCCUUUUUUUGGUCUUAAUGUUGCCUGGCCCAUUUAGAAAUAUAUGAAAUGGAAUUGCAUUAUUUUCUAACCGGAGAGGAUGCGAUGGAAUAUGGUUCUGCGCACAUAAAGUACAAAGCUACCAGGGUUGGAGAUGCUGAUGAUUUGGAGCUGGGUGGUGUGUCCCCCCCCCCCCCGCUUCUUCGCCCCCCCCCCAAAAAAAAAGAAAAAAAGAAGACAUCUAAUUUGCUGCUCUUCUAGUUAAAAUCAUUGGGAAAAAGUGCUGACAAUGACAGGCCAGAAACAAAGCUGCUUCUCAACUAACAACCUUAAUGAGAAAUUUUCUGUCUGGGUUUUGAUCUCCCCCCAGCGUGAAGGCUGCCCUUUUGCAGACUUGCAUUCCGAUCAUGAGCUCAUGUAUGCUGAUAACAGCGUGCAGCCAGCCUCGACGUUGCUGGGCUUGUCUAUUGUCGGUGAUGGUAUUGAUUGUAGGCACGGUGUCAUCCACGAACCUUGAUAUCUCCUAAAAGCAACGGAGGAAAUCUUAUUUUGUGCAGCACAUCUAGACUUUUGCUCGUGAGUCCCUUUGCAACUGAGAAAGCGUUGCUGAGAUCCUUUGGUAACUGUGGGUUAUAGCUUGUUUGGUGUUUAUUCUGGGGGCUGCAAGACUGGACUGGAGCACAUGGGGGUCCUAAACUCUGCAACCGUGUGCCCACUUACCUGGGUACCAGUCCCAUUGAACUCAAUAGGACUUGCUUCUGAUAAUAUAUGCAUAGACUUGCAGUGGUUAAAUGUGGCCCUCUAUUAAUCAACAUGAAUAGUAUGUAAUAUAUUAUUUUACACAAUACCAUGCUAUACCAAACCAUACCAUAUCAUAUAUCCUAUUUGAUUACAUUAUAUUAAUAUAAGUACUGGUGGGGAGGGGUGGAUAGCAGGAAGGAAGGGACCUCAAAAGUCAUCUAGUCCAACCCCCUGCAAUGCCAGAAUCUCAACUAAAGCAGUGGUGACAGAUGGCUACGCAACCUCUGCUUAAAGACCUGCAAUGCUAGUGUGGUAGUACUAAAUGCGGUUAUGCAUAUAACAGGUCUGUUUUCAGAUGAUGCUGGACUCCAGCUCCUAUCCUUCCUGACCACUGGCCAUGUUAGCCAGGGCUGAUGGGAGUUGGAGUCCAGCAACAUCUCAAGGGCCACAGGUAACCCAAGAUAGCAGCUUCAGGGAGACCAGACAGGAUCAGGGCUGCAGCACAUGGAGAGGGGAGGGGUUAAUUCUCAUCACCUUUAUAGAAAUGUCUGAAAAUGUUUCCACUUCAGAGUUUUUAGGAAGCUUCCAGGAAAUGGUGCCAAUGUGAAUUUCCAUCCUGGGGUUUACUAGCAGCAUGUAGGCAAGGGUUUUGUUGGACCACGUGGAGGGGAUGAGGGGAAAUAAGCUGGUGGUGUGAAUAGAUGUUUCAAAGAAAGAUCUCCUUAAGAAUCACUAAAAUCUAUGAUUUCCUACUCAGAGUAGACCUAUUAAUGUUAGUGGACAUGGGAAACUUAAGUUCAUUCAUGUAAGUGGGUCUACUCUGAGUUGUUGUUGUUUAAUUUUUUAUUUCCAAAACCGAAAAAAGAAAAAUUACAAACAUCAAAUUCAACAUCCAUAUUCAUUUCCCACCAUAAUCCUAUUACAUAAUUAACUAAAUUAAAAUAUACCUAAUUACUCUAAACUUCUCUUUGCUGUAUACAAAUACAACACAGUUAGAAAUUUUAUAUUAAAGCUUUUAUAUUAUAAAUAAUAUUUCAAAUUCCCCUAUACCCCCCAUUCCCCUUCACCCAUGUGCGAUCUCUCUCUCUCUCUCUCUCUCUCUCUCUUUUACUUCUUCCGUCUUGUUGUGUUGUUAUAAUUUAAUCAUUGUUCAGUGGGUCUACUCUGAGUACAGCACAGCCCUGUUUCUCAUGCUGCCCUAGUUGCAGGUGGCAAAAUGAAAGGGUCAGUUUGGCCAUCAUUCUCCCCAGUCCAUUUUGACCUCAUGACAACCCUGUGAGGUAGGUUAAGCAGAUGGCCAGAGAGGGGACGAGAGAGGGAGAGAGACUUGCCAAAGUUCACCCAGUAAGCUUGUGGCAGGGGUUGGGAGUGGAGGACUGGAACACCACGCCGCUGGAGUUUUGCCUAUGGCUAUUGAAUGAACCCAGGGUUGGGGCGAAAUUUGAACCAGAGGCUUUCUGCUUCCCACUCGGAGCGGCUGUGCUACACCCCAUCACACUGGCUCUCAGCUUUCCGUUUGCUCUGUGAUCAGUUACAUGCUGCCUGCCAACAAUUGUAAAUGAUCACCAACCAGACGAAUCUGACAGACUCUUCCCCAGAGAUUCAUGAACUGUGCUUUAUAGCAGGCGGAUGCACCACACCAUCAAACUCAAAGAAUGUAAACUGGGUGGCGGGGAGAGAUGAUUACAGCUGGAGCUGUGUGGAGAGGGAAGGGGGGGGCAGAACAGAAAGAAACUGGAAUAGAAUGCAUAUUCAAUUGGCAGCAGCAUGGCCAGAGCCAAGGGUUGAUGUGUCUGGGCACCUGCUGAGGGACAAUACCUCAGCUGAGGCACAGUGGCAAAAGUCCCCUCCAACCUGCUUGUUCACCCACCUCUGCCUCUCUCUCUUACAGACAAGGUUGGUGGUUCUUAUGGAGGGAGCAGACAUCCCUGCUUGCUUGCUCAUUUCAUCUCUGAGCCAGUGUGGUGUAGUGGUUAAGAGCGGUAGACUCGUAAUCUGGUGAACCGGGUUUGCGUCUCCGCUCCUCCACAUGCAGCUGCUGGGUGACCUUGGGCUAGUCACACUUCUUUGACGUCUCUCACCUCACAGAGUGUUUGUUGUGGGGGAGGAAAGGAAAGGAGAAUGUUAGCCACUUUGAGACUCCUUCGGGUAGUGAUAAAGCGGGAUAUCAAAUCCAAACUCUUCUUCUUCCUCUUCUUCUUCUUCCUCCUCUUCUUCUUCUUCUUCUUCUUGUCUGUCAAGCAAGGAGGAGGUAAAGAGGAGCAACAGGUAAUAAGGGUAGUGAAUUGGUAGUGAAGGAGGGUUACCCAUGAAGGGUUUCCUACCCAAGGACUCUGGAACCCAUGUUCAUUUACUUAAUUCUUGCAUUUCCAUCCCACUGUUUCUUCAAGCAACUCAGCCUGUGGUUCUUCCCCUCUCCAUUUUAUCCUCACAGCAAGGUAGAGGCAGAAACAGUGACUGGUGUAAGGGUAUCUGGUGAGUUUCAUGACUGAGUAGGGAUUUCAACCCUGAUCUCCCAGGCCCUUGUCCAAUAUCCUAGCCCCUUCCAAUGAUGUUGGAGGAUUUUCCCUCACAGAUAUCUGCAAAACUAUCCCACAAACUCCAUGUGCACCUGGAAGAGACCUUAAAUUAGUUUAAUGCAGUAGUGGAGAAUUGGAUCUGGCUGGCGGACCAGAUCCUUAUAUCCCCAGGCUCCAUGAGCCAGUUUUGACAAGUCCGUGUAACCACCUACCUGUCAUUCUGCUGAUGUCAUGAUGAUAGCAGGUGAUUGGCACCUGUCAAUGUUCAAAGGAGUUUGCUGUAAGUAUCCAUCAGCUGAUGGAUCCAUUUGAAGAUGUGCUUUCAGUGCUUAUCAGCUGAUUUUUGCUGGGAGUGCAUCUUCAAAAAGACCCCCUGUAAUAAUAAUAAUAAUAAUAAUAAUAAUAAUUUUUAUUUUUAUUUAUAUCCCGCCCUCCCCAGCUGAAGCCGGGCUCAGGGUGGCUAACAACAAUAAAACAAUACAAAAGUACAGCACAAACAACACUCUAAAAUCAUUCAUUAUAAAAUUAAUCAGCUGAUCACUGGUUAUAGGAGGCCUCUUUGAAGUAUCUAUAGAGAGAGAGGUGCUCUGAAAAAAGGGGGGGUCUUUUUCCAUAAAUAAUGGUUUGCAUUCAAAUAAUUUCCUCCAGUUCUUUGUUGGGGGUUUCAGCUGGGCAAGGCUCUCUUCAAGCACUGACAAUCAGCUGAUCGUUGGUGCUUUCAGAAAGUCCUUUGCUGCAUGUUGAAGCCACAACAAUAAUCUGAUAAAGGAAUUUCAAAUGCAUUGCAAUGGACUUUGCAGGUGCCACCAAUCAGCUGAUCAGUGGUGCCUGAAGCCCCUUUUUGGCAAACCUGUGACUUUAUCUGCCACAUAUCUGACAUCAUCUAGUAAAGAGACCAACUAUUAAAGGCACAAGAGCCCUGACCUCUUUUGUAUCUUGCUACUCUGUUGGGCGUUGCAUAAAAUGAAGCUGAGAGCCACAGGUUGCCUAUCCCCAUAUAUGAGAGAGAGAGAUCAUUGCACAUGACCCAAAAAAGGCAGGUAUUAAUAGUUGAGGUGAAAGAAAGAGAGAGAGAGAAGGUGCAGUUAGGCAAGUCUUUUUACUGGAAAUUGACUUCCUAAAAAGCUAUCUCCUUACUUGCUUACUUGUUUCCCAUUUUGUAGGACCUAACACAAUAAUAACAACAAAUCUGUACCAGAACAAGAAAGAGCGGAAAACAGAUGUCGGAGGAGAGAGCCAACAAAUGCAAUGAAAGCCACUGCGCUAUGCUGAGCAUUGCAAAGUCCAUGGGUUUGCACACGCAAAACAGGAAGUGACAGAGGAAGAACAUUGUUUGGCAGCUUUUCUCAAAUCAGAUGAAAAAUGGGGAAAGACUAUGGGAUUCAGGAGGGGUGGGCAAGGACGACAGGAAACAAACCUAGUUUGCUGCUUAACCGGCAACAAUUUACACCAUUUAAAAACUUCCGCAAAGAUCGCAGCUUAUCAUGAAAUGUAUUGUAUGCCUUGCUGGGUGAGACCAAUGGGCCUUUCCCCCAGUAUCCUGUCUCUGUCCAGAACCAGGUGUUCCAGAUGAAAUGUACAACAUUACAUACUAUUGACAACUUCCUAUACAUUUCCAUCUCUCUACGGUCAUAGGCUUAUGUAAUUCUUAAGUAUGAAGGGGCUGGCAGAUUUAUUCUAAAAUGCACUUAAUCAGUUUUCAUUGACUGACCUCCAUUCUUCCCCACCCCCACCCCUUUUAGAGUAUUAUAAUAAAAAAUAGUUUCUAUUCAUUUAUUAUUAUCAUAACUGUAUGCAUAAUUGUAUCACAAAAUGAAUAAGGAACAAACAACAAAACCUGACCCCUUAAUAAUCUUUUAAACAUAAUGUUACUAAUCAAGAACUUAUCCAAAUAGAAUGCUUUAAUUUUUCCUACCUGCUAUAAUCAGGGGAAGAAGGGGGGGGGGAAUCAAUUCAACAUUCUCUAAAUACAAAAAUAUAUAAUCUCUAGUCCAAAAUGGUUAUUCCAACCCAAAAUAAAGCAAUGUCUUUAAAAAGAAAAAAUAAUUUGUCCAUAUCUUAUCUAAACCGUUACCUAAAUCACUUAGUUUAUUCAUACAUGGAACUUCUAAUCCUUUCUGUAGC